This 547-nucleotide ribosomal RNA is filed under the name uncultured archaeon. RNAcentral describes it as "bacterial SSU rRNA". It matches the Rfam family "Archaeal small subunit ribosomal RNA", at positions 325 to 876 of the family's 1478-position model. The record is from RNAcentral.
ACGGGGUGCAGCAGGCGCGAAAACUUUACAAUGCGGGGAACCGUGAUAAGGGAACCCCGAGUGCCUGUAUAUGCAGGCUGUCCAGGUGUCUAAAAAACACCUGAAGAAAGGGCCGGGCAAGACCGGUGCCAGCCGCCGCGGUAAUACCGGCGGCUCGAGUGGUGGCCACUUUUAUUGGGCUUAAAGCGUUCGUAGCUGGGUUGUUAAGUCUCUUGGGAAAUCUGACGGCUCAACCGUCAGGCGCCCAAGGGAUACUGGCAAUCUUGGAACCGGGAGAGGUGAGGGGUACUUCGGGGGUAGGAGUGAAAUCCUGUAAUCCUCGAGGGACCACCUGUGGCGAAGGCGCCUCACCAGAACGGCUUCGACAGUGAGGGACGAAAGCUGGGGGAGCAAACCGGAUUAGAUACCCGGGUAGUCCCAGCCGUAAACGAUGCGCGUUAGGUGUAUCGGUGACCACGAGUCACCGAGGUGCCGAAGGGAAACCGUGAAACGUGCCGCCUGGGAAGUACGGUCGCAAGGCUGAAACUUAAAGGAAUUGGCGGGGGAG